This 414-nucleotide ribosomal RNA is filed under the name uncultured microorganism. RNAcentral describes it as "bacterial SSU rRNA". It matches the Rfam family "Archaeal small subunit ribosomal RNA", at positions 459 to 872 of the family's 1478-position model. The record is from RNAcentral.
CAGCCGCCGCGGUAAUACCGGCGGCCCGAGUGGCGGUCACUAUUAUUGGGCUUAAAGCGUCCGUAGCCGGGUUGGGAAGUCCUCCGGGAAAUCUGGCCGCUUAACGGUCAGAAUGCCGGAGGAUACUCCCAGCCUAGGGAGCGGGCGAGGCCGAGGGUAUUCCCGGAGUAGGGGGGAAAUCCUAUAAUCCCGGGAGGACCACCGGUGGCGAAGGCGCUCGGCUGGAACGCGUCCGACGGGGAGGGACGAAGGCCAGGGGAGCAAACCGGAUUAGAUACCCGGGUAGUCCUGGCUGUAAACGAUGCGGACUUUGUGUCGGACAAGCUAUGAGCUGGUCCGGUGCCGGAGGGAAACCGUUAAGUCCGCCGCCUGGGGAGUACGGCCGCAAGGCUGAAACUUAAAGGAAUUGGCGGG